AACGCACCCGGCGAGCGUAGAGCUGCCUCCGGAGCAGAAGGCCGCAGGUUCGAAUCCUGCCGAGG
Molecule: transfer RNA, 65 nt
Filed under: Nocardia terpenica
Lineage: Bacteria; Bacillati; Actinomycetota; Actinomycetes; Mycobacteriales; Nocardiaceae
Description: tRNA-Arg
Source: RNAcentral